Molecule: long non-coding RNA, 722 nt
Organism: Sapajus apella (tufted capuchin)
Lineage: Eukaryota; Metazoa; Chordata; Mammalia; Primates; Cebidae
Exons: 2
Source: RefSeq, a predicted model, not a curated record
GAUGGGGCCACUGCACUUUAGCCUGGGCAACAGAGCAAGACUCUGUCUGAAAAAAAAAAAAGAAAAAGAAAAAAACAUUCCGGGUAUUAGGAUUUGCUUCCUGUUCUAUUAGGUUAUCUGUUCUCCCCUCUAACUUAAGGUAAUGUGUGGAAAACAGUGCCAUUCAGAUAUUGCUUAGGUAACUCUUAACAGGGCCUCAGCCUUUGGGGUUUUUAAACCAGUGAAACUGCCUUUAUACUGUUAGCAAGAACAGCAGACUCCCAUUAAAAAAAAUCUAUUACCCUAGUCAAAUUAUUCAUCUUUUAAAAGGCAUAGGGUUUGCUGUUUUUUUUUUAAAUGUUUAUCAUCUUGACUUUUUUUCUCUUGAAAAUUUUUGAAGACCAUUUCAAAAUGAUACAGGAUAUCAAAAUCUAUUUUCCCCUUCCUAAAUUAUUUCUCAAACAAUGUAUUCAUCAGAUUUCUAUGUGUGAUGAUGUACGUAGCAGUCACUAACAGAACCUCAGUGCACUUUUUGGUUAGAUAUUCCACGCCAAACAGCUAAAAUCAACUGCUUUUGGGGCUGUUAAAGUUACAAGAUCUGUAUAAAAAUGCAAGACACAUUAAUAAAUUAAAUUUUGGCGGCCAAUUCAUGAUACAGCUCUUUUAUCUCCAGAUUCUGAGACUGAAAAUAUAACUUGAUCAAUCUAUUGAAUUACUGUAAUAAAACAAUUACUCCCUUAGAA